Molecule: ribosomal RNA, 809 nt
Filed under: uncultured bacterium
Lineage: Bacteria
Description: bacterial SSU rRNA
Rfam family: Bacterial small subunit ribosomal RNA
Source: RNAcentral
AGAGUUUGAUCAUGGCUCAGAAUGAACGCUGGCGGCGUGCUUAACACAUGCAAGUCGUGCGCGAAGGUGGCUUCGGCCACCGGAGAGCGGCGAACGGGUGAGUAACACGUGGGUGAUCUGCCUGGGAGCGGGGGGAUAACCUGGGGAAACUCGGGCUAAUACCGCAUACGUUGAUUUGGUUACGGCCAAGUCAAGAAAGCUGGCCUCUAUUUAUAAGCUAGCGCUCGCAGAGGAGCCCGCGGCUGAUUAGCUAGUUGGUAGGGUAAUGGCCUACCAAGGCGACGAUCAGUAGCCGGCCUGAGAGGGUGAUCGGCCACACUGGGACUGAGACACGGCCCAGACUCCUACGGGAGGCAGCAGUGGGGAAUAUUGGACAAUGGGCGCAAGCCUGAUCCAGCAACGCCGCGUGGAGGACGAAGGUCUUCGGAUCGUAAACUCCUGUCAGGCGGGACGAAGGCUUCCGGGCAAAUAGUCCGGAAGCUUGACGGUACUGCCAGAGGAAGCCCCGGCUAACUCCGUGCCAGCAGCCGCGGUAAUACGGAGGGGGCUAGCGUUAUUCGGAAUUAUUGGGCGUAAAGGGCGCGUAGGCGGCCCGGUAAGUCAAAGGUGAAAUCCCUCGGCUCAACUGAGGAACUGCCUUUGAAACUGUCGGGCUUGAGGCCGGGAGGGGGUAGCGGAAUUCCCAGUGUAGCGGUGAAAUGCGUAGAUAUUGGGAGGAACACCGGUGGCGAAGGCGGCUACCUGGACCGGUUCUGACGCUGAUGCGCGAAAGCGUGGGUAGCAAACAGGAUUAGAUACCCUAGUAGUCC